Haliotis rubra (blacklip abalone) is the source of this 111-nucleotide long non-coding RNA. RefSeq lists it as uncharacterized. NCBI's taxonomy places the organism in Eukaryota, Metazoa, Mollusca, Gastropoda, Lepetellida, Haliotidae. The transcript is spliced from 3 exons. The record is from RefSeq and is a predicted model, not a curated record.
AAAAAGGAAACAACGCAUCCUAUAAGAUUUUACCUGCACACUGAGGCAAAUACUCAUCGGCCAAGUGAAACCUCGGAAACAGUGGAGUCUGGCAACACUCAGGAUUUUCAU